This 253-nucleotide ribosomal RNA is filed under the name uncultured bacterium. RNAcentral describes it as "partial 16S ribosomal RNA". It matches the Rfam family "Bacterial small subunit ribosomal RNA", at positions 524 to 776 of the family's 1533-position model. The record is from RNAcentral.
UACGAAGGUGGCAAGCGUUGUUCGGAUUUACUGGGCGUAAAGGGAGCGUAGGUGGUCGGGUAAGCCCCGCGGGAAAGCUCCAGGCUUAACCUGGAAAGGUCGCGGGGGACUGCUCGGCUAGAGGACGGGAGAGGAGCGCGGAAUUCCCGGUGUAGCGGUGAAAUACGUAGAGAUCGGGAGGAAGGCCGGUGGCGAAGGCGGCGCUCUGGAACGGCCCUGACACUGAGGCUCGAAAGCUAGGGGAGCAAACGGG